This 512-nucleotide ribosomal RNA is filed under the name uncultured Actinomycetes bacterium. RNAcentral describes it as "bacterial SSU rRNA". It matches the Rfam family "Bacterial small subunit ribosomal RNA", at positions 355 to 858 of the family's 1533-position model. The record is from RNAcentral. Lineage: Bacteria; Bacillati; Actinomycetota; Actinomycetes.
UGGGGAAUCUUGCGCAAUGCGCGAAAGCGUGACGCAGCAACGCCGCGUGGGGGAAGAAGGCCUUCGGGUUGUAAACCCUUUCAGGAGGGACGAAGGUGUGACGGUGAACAGCCGUUCGCACUGACGGUACCUUCACAAGAAGCCCCGGCUAACUACGUGCCAGCAGCCGCGGUAAUACGUAGGGGGCAAGCGUUGUCCGGAAUCAUUGGGCGUAAAGCGCGCGUAGGCGGCCCGGUAAGUCCGCUCUGAAAGUCCAGGGCUCAACCCUGGAAAGCGGGUGGAUACUGCCGGGCUAGAAUCCGGAAGAGGCGAGUGGAAUUCCUGGUGUAGCGGUGGAAUGCGCAGAUAUCAGGAGGAACACCAAUAGCGAAGGCAGCUCGCUGGGACGGUAUUGACGCUAAGGCGCGAAAGCGUGGGGAGCGAAACAGGAUUAGAUACCCUGGUAGUCCACGCCGUAAACGAUGGGUACUAGGUGUGGGAGGUGUCGACUCCUCCCGUGCCGACGCUAACGC